Molecule: long non-coding RNA, 681 nt
Organism: Oncorhynchus tshawytscha (Chinook salmon)
Lineage: Eukaryota; Metazoa; Chordata; Actinopteri; Salmoniformes; Salmonidae
Source: Ensembl
GGGGGUAAUGUGUUUUGGAAAGAGAGAGAGAGACUGAGGGAGGGUGAGCCCGAGGGGGUAAUGUGUUUUGGAGUGAGAGAGAGAGACUGAGGGAGGGUGAGAUGGAGGAGGGUAAUGUGUUUUGGAAAGAGAGAGAGACUGAGGGAGAGUGAGAUGGAGGGGGUAAUGAGUUUUGGAGAGAGAGAGAGAGAGAGACUGAGGGAGGGUGAGAUGGAAUGGGGUAAUGUUUUUUGGAGAGAGACUGAGGGAGGGUGAGAUGUAGGGGGUAAUGUGUUUUGGAAAGAGAGAGAAAGACUGAGGGAGGGUGAGCCCGAGGGGGGUAAUGUGUUUUGGAGAGAGAGAGAGAGACUGAGGGAGGGUGAGAUGGAGGGGGUAAUGUGUUUUGGAGAGAGAGAGAGACUGAGGGAGGGUGAGAUGGAGGGGGGUAAUGUGUUUUGGAAAGAGAGAGAGACUGAGGGAGGGUGAGAUGGAGGGGGGUAAUGUGUUUUGGAGAGAGAGAGAGACUGAGGGAGGGCAAGAUGGAGGGGGUAAUGUGUUUUGGAGAGAGAGAGAGAGACUGAGGGAGGGCGAGAUGGAGGGGGUAAUGUGUUUUGGAGAGAGAGAGAGAGACUGAGGGAGGGCGAGAUGGAGGGGGGUAAUGUGUUUUGGAAAGAGAGAGAGAGAGAGAGAGAGGGAGGGAGA